AACGUACGCUGGCGGCACGCCUAACACAUGCAAGUCGAACGAAGUAGCAAUACUUAGUGGCAGACGGGUGAGUAACAUGUAGGUAUCUGCCCUUUGGCCUGGAAUAACACGAGGAAACUUGUGCUAAUACCGGAUAAGUCUUUACGGAGAAAGCUUUAUGCACCAUUGGAUGAGCCUGCACUUGAUUAGUUUGUUGGUGGGGUAAUGGCCUACCAAGACUGUGAUCAAUAGCUGAUUUGAGAGGAUGAUCAGCCACAUUGGGACUGAGACACGGCCCAAACUCCUACGGGAGGCAGCAGUGGGGAAUCUUGCACAAUGGAGGAAACUCUGAUGCAGCGAUGCCGCGUGAGUGAAGAAGGCCCUUGGGUUGUAAAGCUCUUUCGUCGGGGAAGAAAAUGACUGUACCCGAAUAAGAAGGUCCGGCUAACUUCGUGCCAGCAGCCGCGGUAAUACGAAGGGACCUAGCGUAGUUCGGAAUUACUGGGCUUAAAGAGUUCGUAGGUGGUUGAAAAAGUUAGUGGUGAAAUCCCAGAGCUUAACUCUGGACCUGCCAUUAAAACUUUUCAGCUAGAGUAUGAUAGAGGAAAGCAGAAUUUCUAGUGUAGAGGUGAAAUUCGUAGAUAUUAGAAAGAAUACCAAUUGCGAAGGCAGCUUUCUGGAUCAUUACUGACACUGAGGAACGAAAGCAUGGGUAGCGAAGAGGAUUAGAUACCCUCGUAGUCCAUGCCGUAAACGAUGUGUGUUAGACGUUGGAAAUUUAUUUUCAGUGUCGCAGGGAAACCGAUAAACACACCGCCUGGGGAGUACGACCGCAAGGUUAAAACUCAAAUGAAUUGACGGGGACCCGCACAAGUAGUGGAGCAUGUGGUUUAAUUCGAAGAUACGCGCAGAACCUUACCAACACUUGACAUGUUCGUCGCGACUCUAAGAGAUUAGAGUUUUCGGUUCGGCCGGACGAAACACAGGUGCUGCAUGGCUGUCGUCAGCUCGUGUCGUGAGAUGUUGGGUUAAGUCCCGCAACGAGCGCAACCCUCACUUUUAGUUGCCAUCAUUAAGUUGGGCACUCUGAAAGAACUGCCAGUGAUAAGCUGGAGGAAGGUGGGGAUGACGUCAAGUCCUCAUGGCCCUUACGUGUUGGGCUACACACGUGCUACAAUGGUAUCUACAACAGGAAGCAAGACUGCGAAGUUAAGCAAAUCCCUAAAAGAUACCUCAGUUCGGAUUGCACUCUGCAACUCGAGUGCAUGAAGCUGGAAUUACUAGUAAUCGUGGAUCAGCGUGCCACGGUGAAAUGCGUUCCCGGGUCU
This 1307-nucleotide ribosomal RNA is filed under the name uncultured bacterium. RNAcentral describes it as "bacterial SSU rRNA". It matches the Rfam family "Bacterial small subunit ribosomal RNA", at positions 28 to 1381 of the family's 1533-position model. The record is from RNAcentral.